Molecule: ribosomal RNA, 301 nt
Filed under: uncultured bacterium
Lineage: Bacteria
Description: partial 16S ribosomal RNA
Rfam family: Bacterial small subunit ribosomal RNA
Source: RNAcentral
CAGUAGCCGCGGUAAUGCGAAGGGUGCAAGCGUUAAUCGGAAUUACUGGGCGUAAAGCGUGCGUAGGCGGUUUGUUAAGUCUGUUGUGAAAUCCCCGGGCUCAACCUGGGAAUGGCAAUGGAUACUGGCAAGCUAGAGUGUGUCAGAGGAUGGUGGAAUUCCCGGUGUAGCGGUGAAAUGCGUAGAGAUCGGGAGGAACAUCAGUGGCGAAGGCGGCCAUCUGGGACAACACUGACGCUGAGGCACGAAAGCGUGGGGAGCAAACAGGAUUAGAUACCCCCGUAGUCCCUGUCUCUUAUAC